RNAcentral lists this ribosomal RNA (465 nucleotides) under uncultured bacterium. RNAcentral describes it as "partial 16S ribosomal RNA". It matches the Rfam family "Bacterial small subunit ribosomal RNA", at positions 28 to 507 of the family's 1533-position model. The record is from RNAcentral.
GACGAACGCUGGCGGCGUGCUUAACACAUGCAAGUCGAACGGAAAGGCCCUGCUUGCAGGGUACUCGAGUGGCGAACGGGUGAGUAACACGUGGGUGAUCUGCCCUGCACUUCGGAAUAAGCCUGGGAAACUGGGUCUAAUACCGGAUAGGAGCCAUUUUUAGUGUGAUGGUUGGAAAGUUUUUUCGGUGUAGGAUGAGCUCGCGGCCUAUCAGCUUGUUGGUGGGGUAAUGGCCUACCAAGGCGGCGACGGGUAGCCGGCCUGAGAGGGUGGACGGCCACAUUGGGACUGAGAUACGGCCCAGACUCCUACGGGAGGCAGCAGUGGGGAAUAUUGCACAAUGGGCGCAAGCCUGAUGCAGCGACGCCGCGUGGGGGAUGACGGCCUUCGGGUUGUAAACUCCUUUCGCUAGGGACGAAGCUUUUUGUGACGGUACCUAGAUAAGAAGCACCGGCUAACUACGUG